This 582-nucleotide long non-coding RNA is filed under the name Panax ginseng (ginseng). Its description in RNAcentral is "long non-coding RNA (PGIN_LNC016149)". The record is from RNAcentral. Lineage: Eukaryota; Viridiplantae; Streptophyta; Magnoliopsida; Apiales; Araliaceae.
AAAUACAUGAUGGAACCUAGUAUUAUAUGUAAGACAACUUGACAGAAAUGUUGGUAUUAUAUGUUUAUGGGUGUGACAGCCAUUUACCACCAAACACAGAUUUAUUUAUUUUUCAUUUUUCUUCUUUUGGCAGGGUAAUUAAUUUAACUUGAGGCACUUUUUCAUGCUUAUGGUUGAAAUCAAUAAAUCGUAUACUAUUGGAUUUAUUUCAAGCAAACAACAAAAACAUGAUGGAUCUGGUUCAUCUCAAGGACGAUGCCAACGGGCCCCAUACAACUAAUCUACAAUAUAAAUGAACAGAGAUGUUCUACACCUGUAUAUAACAACACUAGCAGCAUAAGUGAAUGCCUAUAUAGCUUUGUAGUUCAUAAGCUCUCAUGUGUUGUGCUUGACACCUUCACAUCUUUGUUAUCCUCUUGGCUAACUUCUGUAACAUCCCCCUCGGGUGUUUCUGUAGCAGAAUCAGGUUCCUUUUUCAGCUCCGAUUCAAACUCCUUUGCAGCCUGCAACAAUUACAUCAAUAUUAAUCUAUGUACAUGUUACAUCAGUCUUAUUAUUUCAUUAUAGAACCAUGUAGUUGAA